Long non-coding RNA from Rhagoletis pomonella (apple maggot), 479 nucleotides. RefSeq lists it as uncharacterized. NCBI's taxonomy places the organism in Eukaryota, Metazoa, Arthropoda, Insecta, Diptera, Tephritidae. The transcript is spliced from 3 exons. The record is from RefSeq and is a predicted model, not a curated record.
CUUAAAGUGCUGUGGAAAAAUAAAGAUAAGUUGUAUAAAAUAUUUCAUUUAAAAUGAAGAAAAGAGCUUUUAAUAUCGCCAUGAGCAAGAAAAACGGAUUUACGAAUCCAAUAUUAAAAAAUUGCAUCGCAUCGCCAGUUCUCUACCACUGCAGUCCUAUUGCGUUGUGAAUUUAAUAGAAACAAAAUUAAAAGAUCCAGAGUAUACACAAGCCAUGGUCAAUUAUAUCAAAAAUAAAAGUUGUGUCUGAGGACGUAGCCAGCGGUAUUAAACAUUCAUUUUCGGAGGAGGCAUUGCUGCAUCUUAACUUUGAGGGCAGAUGGGAGAGAAAACCACUAAACAAACGUAGGAGAUGCAUUUAAAAAGAAAGGUCCUGUUGCGUUCGAAAAAGAAAUCAGGAAGGCAAUUGAGCUCAGCCAUCACCGCUUGCACCAAAAAAUCACAAAACAUAUCGGUUGGAAAUGUAUAACCCCUGUAGG